This is a small nuclear RNA of Dipodomys spectabilis (banner-tailed kangaroo rat), 104 nucleotides long. NCBI's taxonomy places the organism in Eukaryota, Metazoa, Chordata, Mammalia, Rodentia, Heteromyidae. The record is from RefSeq and is a predicted model, not a curated record.
GUGCUCAAGUUAGCAUCACAUACACUAACAUUGGAACGAUACAAAGAAGAUUAGCAUGUCCCCUGCACGAGGAUGACAUGCAAAUCCAUGGAGCCCAUAUUUUU